UACGGAGGGUGCGAGCGUUAAUCGGAAUGACUGGGCGUAAAGGGUGCGUAGGCGGUUAGUUAAGUUGUGGGUGAAAUCACCGGGCUCAACCUGGUUUGGAAUCAUAAUACUGGCUAACUAGAGUACAGGAGAGGGUAGUGGAAUUUCCGGUGUAGCGGUGAAAUGCGUAGAGAUCGGAAGGAACACCAGUUGCGAAGGCGGCUACCUGGACUGAGACUGACGCUGAGGCACGAAAGCGUGGGGAGCAAACAGG
Molecule: ribosomal RNA, 253 nt
Filed under: uncultured bacterium
Lineage: Bacteria
Also listed under: 1 other name
Description: partial 16S ribosomal RNA
Rfam family: Bacterial small subunit ribosomal RNA
Source: RNAcentral